UACGGAGGGUGCAAGCGUUAUCCGGAAUCAUUGGGUUUAAAGGGUCCGCAGGCGGGCUAAUAAGUCAGUGGUGAAAGCCUACAGCUUAACUGUAGAACUGCCAUUGAUACUGUAAGUCUUGAAUUCGGUCGAAGUGGGCGGAAUGUGUAGUGUAGCGGUGAAAUGCUUAGAUAUGACACAGAACACCGAUAGCGAAGGCAGCUCACUAGGCCUGGAUUGACGCUCAGGGACGAAAGCGUGGGGAUCAAACAGGAUUAGAUACCCUGGUAGUCCACGCCGUAAACUAUGAUUACUCGUUUUCGGCGAUAUACUGUCGGAGACUAAGCGAAAGUGAUAAGUAAUCCACCUGGGGAGUACGAUCGCAAGGUUG
RNAcentral lists this ribosomal RNA (370 nucleotides) under uncultured prokaryote. Its description in RNAcentral is "bacterial SSU rRNA". It matches the Rfam family "Bacterial small subunit ribosomal RNA", at positions 524 to 896 of the family's 1533-position model. The record is from RNAcentral.